RNAcentral lists this ribosomal RNA (465 nucleotides) under uncultured Sphingobacteriales bacterium. Its description in RNAcentral is "bacterial SSU rRNA". It matches the Rfam family "Bacterial small subunit ribosomal RNA", at positions 916 to 1381 of the family's 1533-position model. Lineage: Bacteria; Pseudomonadati; Bacteroidota; Sphingobacteriia; Sphingobacteriales. The record is from RNAcentral.
CGGGGCCCGCACAAGCGGAGGAACAUGUGGUUUAAUUCGAUGAUACGCGAGGAACCUUACCUGGGCUUAAAUGGGGAGUGACAGCUGUCGAAAGAUGGUUUUCUUCGGACACUCUUCAAGGUGCUGCAUGGUUGUCGUCAGCUCGUGCCGUGAGGUGUCGGGUUAAGUCCCAUAACGAGCGCAACCCUUACCGUUAGUUACCAUCAGGUUAAGCUGGGGACUCUAGCGGGACUGCCACCGUAAGGUGAGAGGAAGGUGGGGAUGACGUCAAAUCAGCACGGCCCUUAUGUCCAGGGCUACACACGUGUUACAAUGGCCGGUACAAAGGGCAGCUACUUCGCGAGAAGAUGCUAAUCUCGAAAGCCGGUCUCAGUUCGGAUCGAAGUCUGCAACCCGACUUCGUGAAGCUGGAUUCGCUAGUAAUCGCGCAUCAGCCAUGGCGCGGUGAAUACGUUCCCGGGCCUU